UACAUUUCUAGCAUUAGGGUUGGGCAUGCACCUUUUUCAUUCUGUUCUCCAUCUUAGCAAAGCAAAGCAAACACAAGAGGACUACUUGGUUCCUUUUUUUUAAAGGAGGACAAUCUUUAUUUCUCCCUAGAAGCUUCUUUGCCUGUCUUAUCACAUUUCCACCGCAAUCAGUUCCAGCCACUGCAGUUGACAAAACCAAGGGUGAUGAGUGUUCAGGGGAAGAUGAAACUCUCGCACAAUUCACAAGCUUUCCAAUGGUGCACAGGGUUUACUGAUCAGGUUUUGCUUAAGGCAGAAGUUAAUUCUCAAGAUCUCCCUUGGCCCAGCAGUUUGCUGUGCUCUCCUGGAGUCCUCUUCAUUAGCACUGGCUUCUCUUGAGGGCGCUUCCGAGGACGCUGAAAUCUGCUCGCAGGACGUUGGAAGGGGCACGGGUUUGCUGGAAGGGCUGCUGCCCGCCGGCAAACAGGGUGAAAGAGCCGGGCUCCAGGCGCCACUCCCCGGCCCAGACGGCUCUCUGGCGGAAGGAGAGCAGGAAGGGCACCUUGGUCGCCUGGCCUUGGGGUACCAUCACCCGACGGAAGCCGACCAGCUGCCAGCGGGGCACGGGCACGGAGGCCUCUCCCCACCGGAGGUAGAGCUGCACCACCUGCAGGGGGAAAAGAGCUCUUAAAGAGGGAACAAGGAAGAAAACGAGACCCUUCCUUCCUGGAAGGCCCCACGGAUCUCCCCACACCCAGAGAGGGGGAGUGGUCUCGAAAACGCCAGAAGGACACGUCCAUGGGAACCUCAUCUCAAUCCAAUCCAAGGACACCCAAACUACUCCCUGUGGUGCUCCUUGCCUACCCAUCCCCCAUCAUUUAAAUCUUGUUUAUGUUUAUGAUACAGAAAGCAUCAUCCUUCCUCAGCCACCGAGGUCCAGGAGCAGGCCAGCCCUCUCACCUCCUCGCCGUCUCGGGGGCCAACGUUCUCCACCACCACCGAGAGGCUGAGGUUCCCACAAACGGGCACCACCUCGGCUCCCAGCACCAGGUCGCUGUAUCGGAAAAAGGGUGUAGGAGAGCCCGUAGCCAAAGGGGUACAGCGGAGGAUCGUCUCCAUAGUAGCGGUACGUCCGUCCAGCCAUGGUGUAGUUCUCCAUUGGGGGGACCUGUGGGGAUGGAGACCGAGAGACAAAGUUCAGGAGAGAAGGACUGCCCCGCCUAGUGAAUGAAGAUGGGCAUGAUCGGGAUGAGAGUUUCCGCAUUCGAUGGAAAGGAUCCAAGUGUGAUUGCCGUCUUAGAACCGGCACAAGAAGCAACACAAGACUGACUAUCUGUCCUGCAGAGUCAGCGAUGUGACACCUUCCUCACCAUUGUGGCAUCAGGGUAUCACAACAAAGCCACCAUUUGUUCAGGGCUCUCCACCCCUGACUCCCUUCCUCAUCAGCCAACAAUUCAACAAUGGUGGUCUUGGUUGGUGAAGUGAAUGAGUUUUGCUUCCCAAAGCUGAUCGUGAUCCUCAGAGCCACACUGACAUCCAGCGACUUUGCAGGCAACGACGGGCUUUGGAUCACUCCCUUUUCGGAGAAAAUGAAAAUAAUGCCCCUCUCUGUGAGUGCAUGCAAACAGAAAAGUGCAGUUCAUUGCAUUGAGGAAUGCUCUGAAGAAGAUAUUUUCGGCAGAAUAAAGACUAAAACAUUUUAGCA
Molecule: long non-coding RNA, 1684 nt
Filed under: Pogona vitticeps (central bearded dragon)
Lineage: Eukaryota; Metazoa; Chordata; Lepidosauria; Squamata; Agamidae
Description: lncRNA (ENSPVIG00000005317.1)
Source: RNAcentral